UGUUUGAAUUGAGUUCAGAUGCCUUAUCUUUUAACAAUAUCGUUGUUUUAAGAGGCAAUUAAAAAAGAAUUGACCCGGAGUUUAUAUAUUCUGCUGGUUUGCAAAUAUCUCAGAAAUGUCGUCAAAAUAAUCGUAGAUGCGUUGACUUUGAACUGGCAAACGUAGCUUGCCACUUCUGGUUUGAUAUACUGUGGUGUCAUCAAUGCUACUUGUUUGUAUAUAGUCAGUUCUGAUUUCCUGUCCAUGACAUCUUGGUAAAAGUUGUCUGUGAUAACAAUAUUGGCUGCAGACCCAACAAAGUAUCAAAACUGCUAUUAUAAUACCAGAAGCUACCAGCGUGAAAUCUAAUAUCGGAAAGUCUGUGCCUUU
This 369-nucleotide long non-coding RNA is filed under the name Mytilus galloprovincialis (Mediterranean mussel). Lineage: Eukaryota; Metazoa; Mollusca; Bivalvia; Mytilida; Mytilidae. The record is from RNAcentral.